This 135-nucleotide ribosomal RNA is filed under the name uncultured bacterium. RNAcentral describes it as "partial 16S ribosomal RNA". It matches the Rfam family "Bacterial small subunit ribosomal RNA", at positions 335 to 486 of the family's 1533-position model. The record is from RNAcentral.
ACUCCUACGGGAGGCAGCAGUGGGGAAUAUUGCACAAUGGAGGAAACUCUGAUGCAGCAACGCCGCGUGGAGGAUGACACUUUUCGGAGCGUAAACUCCUUUUAUAUAGGAAGAUAAAUGACGGUACUAUAUGAA